AGUGAACGCUGGCGGUAGGCCUAACACAUGCAAGUCGGACGGCAGCACAGUAAGAGCUUGCUCUUACGGGUGGCGAGUGGCGGACGGGUGAGGAAGACAGCGGAAUAUACUUUGUCGUGGGGGAUAACGUAGGGAAACUUAGGCUAAUACCGCAUACGACCUACGGGUGAAAGCAGGGGCGCUUCGGAACUUGCGCGAUGAAGUGAGCCGAUGUCGGAGUGGCUAGUUGGCGGGGUAAAGGCUCACCAAGGAGUCGAACCGUAGCUGGUCUGAGAGGAUGACCGUCGCCAGUCCGACUGAGAGACGGUCCAGACUCGUACUGGGGCCCGCAGUGGGGACUUUCGGACAAUGGCCGCAAGCCUGAUCCAGCAAUACCGCGUGGCUUAAGAAGGCCUUCGGGUUUUGAAGCCCUUUUGUUGCGAAAGAAAAGCAGCAGGUCACUAACACGAUGUUCUGACGGUACCCAAAGAAUAAGCACCGGCUAACUCCGUG
This 492-nucleotide ribosomal RNA is filed under the name uncultured bacterium. RNAcentral's name for it is "partial 16S ribosomal RNA". It matches the Rfam family "Bacterial small subunit ribosomal RNA", at positions 29 to 507 of the family's 1533-position model. The record is from RNAcentral.